UGGGGAAUAUUGGACAAUGGGCGCAAGCCUGAUCCAGCCAUGCCGCGUGAGUGAUGAAGGCCCUAGGGUUGUAAAGCUCUUUCAGCGAGGAGGAUAAUGACGUUACUCGCAGAAGAAGCCCCGGCUAACUUCGUGCCAGCAGCCGCGGUAAUACGAAGGGGGCUAGCGUUGUUCGGAAUCACUGGGCGUAAAGCGCACGUAGGCGGACUUUUAAGUCAGGGGUGAAAUCCCGGGGCUCAACCUCGGAACUGCCUUUGAUACUGGAAGUCUGGAGUCCGAGAGAGGUGAGUGGAACUCCGAGUGUAGAGGUGAAAUUCGUAGAUAUUCGGAAGAACACCAGUGGCGAAGGCGGCUCACUGGCUCGGUACUGACGCUGAGGUGCGAAAGCGUGGGGAGCAAAAAGGAUUAGAUACCCUGGUAGUCCACGCCGUAAACGAUGGAAGCUAGCCGUCAGGGUGCAUGCAUCUUGGUGGCGCAGUUAACGCAUUAAGCUUCCCGCCUGGGGAGUACGGUCGCAAGAUUAAAACUCAAAGGAAUUGACGGGGUCAUAGCUGUUUCCU
Molecule: ribosomal RNA, 560 nt
Filed under: uncultured bacterium
Lineage: Bacteria
Description: partial 16S ribosomal RNA
Rfam family: Bacterial small subunit ribosomal RNA
Source: RNAcentral